RNAcentral lists this transfer RNA (73 nucleotides) under Operophtera brumata (winter moth). It matches the Rfam family "tRNA". Rfam says of the family: Transfer RNA (tRNA) molecules are approximately 80 nucleotides in length. Their secondary structure includes four short double-helical elements and three loops (D, anti-codon, and T loops). The record is from Rfam by way of RNAcentral. Lineage: Eukaryota; Metazoa; Arthropoda; Insecta; Lepidoptera; Geometridae.
CGUUCUAUGGCCGAAUUGGUAAAGGCAUCGCCGAUCACAGGCGAGGCUGCGGGUUCGAGUCCCGCUGGAACGG